RNAcentral lists this ribosomal RNA (253 nucleotides) under uncultured bacterium. RNAcentral's name for it is "partial 16S ribosomal RNA". It matches the Rfam family "Bacterial small subunit ribosomal RNA", at positions 524 to 776 of the family's 1533-position model. The record is from RNAcentral.
UACGAAGGGGGCUAGCGUUGUUCGGAUUCAUUGGGCGUAAAGGGUGCGUAGGUGGCGCCGUAAGUCAGGUGUGAAAUUUCGGAGCUUAACUCCGAAACUGCAUUUGAUACUGCGGUGCUUGAGGACUGGAGAGGAGACUGGAAUUUACGGUGUAGCAGUGAAAUGCGUAGAGAUCGUAAGGAAGACCAGUGGCGAAGGCGGGUCUCUGGACAGUUCCUGACACUGAGGCACGAAGGCCAGGGGAGCAAACGGG